This 271-nucleotide unclassified non-coding RNA is filed under the name Geastrum sp. RNAcentral describes it as "partial contains 5.8S ribosomal RNA, internal transcribed spacer 2, and large subunit ribosomal RNA". Lineage: Eukaryota; Fungi; Basidiomycota; Agaricomycetes; Geastrales; Geastraceae. The record is from RNAcentral.
CGCAUCUUGCGCUCCUUGGUAUUCCGAGGAGCAUGCCUGUUUGAGUGUCGCGAAAUACUCUCAACUUCAAUCUUUUUUGAUUGAAAUUGGAUUUGGGUGUUGUUGUGGCUAUCACAACUCAUCCUAAAUGCAUUAGCGAUCUGCCUACGAUCACACGCAAUGUGAUAAGAAAAAGCAUUGUUGAGAUUGAUCCAGGUUGCUUCUAACCGUCGAAAGACAAUAUAUCAUGUCGUUUGACCUCAAAUCAGGUAGGACUACCCGCUGAACUUAA